RNAcentral lists this ribosomal RNA (433 nucleotides) under uncultured bacterium. Its description in RNAcentral is "partial 16S ribosomal RNA". It matches the Rfam family "Bacterial small subunit ribosomal RNA", at positions 29 to 507 of the family's 1533-position model. The record is from RNAcentral.
AACGAACGCUGGCGGCAUGCCUAACACAUGCAAGUCGAUCGAGACCUUCGGGUCUAGUGGCGCACGGGUGCGUAACGCGUGGGAACCUGCCCUUAGGUUCGGAAUAACUCCCCGAAAGGGGUGCUAAUACCGGAUAAUGUCUUCGGACCAAAGAUUUAUCGCCUUUGGAUGGGCCCGCGUUGAAUUAGCUAGUUGGUAGGGUAAAAGCCUACCAAGGCGACGAUCCAUAGCUGGUCUGAGAGGAAGAUCAGCCACACUGGGACUGAGACACGGCACAGACUCCUACGGGAGGCAGCAGUGGCGAAUAUUGGACAAUGGGCGAAAGCCUGAGCCAGCAAUGCCGCGUGAAUGAUGAAGGCCUUAGGGUUGUAAAGCUCUUUUACCCGGGAUGAUAAUGACAGUACCGGGAGAAUAAGCGCCGGCUAACUACGUG